RNAcentral lists this transfer RNA (90 nucleotides) under Candidatus Omnitrophota bacterium. Its description in RNAcentral is "tRNA-Ser". It matches the Rfam family "tRNA". From Rfam's summary of the family: Transfer RNA (tRNA) molecules are approximately 80 nucleotides in length. Their secondary structure includes four short double-helical elements and three loops (D, anti-codon, and T loops). Further hydrogen bonds mediate the characteristic L-shaped molecular structure. tRNAs have two regions of fundamental functional importance: the anti-codon, which is responsible for specific mRNA codon recognition, and the 3' end, to which the tRNAs corresponding amino acid is attached (by aminoacyl-tRNA synthetases). tRNAs cope with the degeneracy of the genetic code in two manners: having more than one tRNA (with a specific anti-codon) for a particular amino acid; and 'wobble' base-pairing, i.e. permitting non-standard base-pairing at the 3rd anti-codon position. The record is from RNAcentral. Lineage: Bacteria; Pseudomonadati; Candidatus Omnitrophota.
GGAGAGUUGGGUGAGUGGUUGAAACCGGCGCUCUCGAAAAGCGCUAGGCGGGAAACUGCCUCGGAGGUUCGAAUCCUCCACUCUCCGCCA